This 497-nucleotide ribosomal RNA is filed under the name uncultured bacterium. RNAcentral describes it as "partial 16S ribosomal RNA". It matches the Rfam family "Bacterial small subunit ribosomal RNA", at positions 28 to 507 of the family's 1533-position model. The record is from RNAcentral.
GAUGAACGCUGGCGGCGUGCCUAAUACAUGCAAGUCGAGCGAACGGACGAGAAGCUUGCUUCUCUGAUGUUAGCGGCGGACGGGUGAGUAACACGUGGAUAACCUACCUAUAAGACUGGGAUAACUUCGGGAAACCGGAGCUCAUACCGGAUGAUAUUUUGAACCGCAUGGUUCAAAAGUGAAAGACGGUCUUGCUGUCACUUAUAGAUGGAUCCGCGCUGCAUUAGCUAGUUGGUAAGGUAACGGCUUACCAAGGCAACGAUGCAUAGCCGACCUGAGAGGGUGAUCGGCCACACUGGAACGGAGACACGGUCCAGACUCCUACGGGAGGCAGCAGUAGGGAAUCUUCCGCAAUGGGCGAAAGCCUGACGGAGCAACGCCGCGUGAGUGAUGAAGGUCUUCGGAUCGUAAAACUCUGUUAUUAGGGAAGAACAUAUGUGUAAGUAACUGUGCACAUCUUGACGGUACCUAAUCAGAAAGCCACGGCUAACUACGUG